GAAGAUGACGAGCGGCGGACGGGUGAGUAAUACUUAGGAAUCUACCUAGUAGUGGGGGAUAGCACGGGGAAACUCGUAUUAAUACCGCAUACGACCUACGGGAGAAAGGGGGCAGUUUACUGCUCUCGCUAUUAGAUGAGCCUAAGUCGGAUUAGCUAGAUGGUGGGGUAAAGGCCUACCAUGGCGACGAUCUGUAGCUGGUCUGAGAGGAUGAUCAGCCACACCGGGACUGAGACACGGUCCAGACUCCUACGGGAGGCAGCAGUGGGGAAUAUUGGACAAUGGGCGCAAGCCUGAUCCAGCCAUGCCGCGUGUGUGAAGAAGGCCUUCGGGUUGUAAAGCACUUUUGUUGGGGAAGAAAAGACCGUGGUUAAUAACCGUGGUUCAUGACGGUACCCAAAGAAUAAGCACCGGCUAACUUCGUGCCAGCAGCCGCGGUAAUACGAAGGGUGCAAGCGUUACUCGGAAUUACUGGGCGUAAAGCGUGCGUAGGCGGUUUGUUAAGUCUGUCGUGAAAGCCCCGGGCUCAACCUGGGA
RNAcentral lists this ribosomal RNA (537 nucleotides) under uncultured Gammaproteobacteria bacterium. RNAcentral's name for it is "bacterial SSU rRNA". It matches the Rfam family "Bacterial small subunit ribosomal RNA", at positions 84 to 619 of the family's 1533-position model. The record is from RNAcentral. Lineage: Bacteria; Pseudomonadati; Pseudomonadota; Gammaproteobacteria.